This 435-nucleotide ribosomal RNA is filed under the name uncultured bacterium. Its description in RNAcentral is "partial 16S ribosomal RNA". It matches the Rfam family "Bacterial small subunit ribosomal RNA", at positions 29 to 507 of the family's 1533-position model. The record is from RNAcentral.
AGCGAACGCUGGCGGCAGGCUUAACACACGCAAGUCGAGCGGGCAUCUUCGGAUGUCAGCGGCAGACGGGUGAGUAACACGUGGGAACGUACCCUUCGGUUCGGAACAACUCUGGGAAACUGGAGCUAAUACCGGAUACGCCCUUAUGGGGAAAGGUUUACUGCCGAAGGAUCGGCCCGCGUCUGAUUAGCUAGUUGGUGGGGUAACGGCCUACCAAGGCGACGAUCAGUAGCUGGUCUGAGAGGAUGAUCAGCCACACUGGGACUGAGACACGGCCCAGACUCCUACGGGAGGCAGCAGUGGGGAAUAUUGGACAAUGGGCGCAAGCCUGAUCCAGCCAUGCCGCGUGAGUGAUGAAGGCCUUAGGGUUGUAAAGCUCUUUUGUCCGGGACGAUAAUGACGGUACCGGAAGAAUAAGCCCCGGCUAACUUCGUG